AAGAAAAGCAAGAAAACCAUGUUCAGCAAGAUAUGCUUUCACACAAAGGGUUCCAAGAAAGUUAGAAAGGACCACUGUCCUCAAAAGUCUAUGGAGUACCAGCCUCAGAACACUUCCCCUACUGUGUACUUUACAGAGUCGAGGACAAAUUCUCAUGGCUCCUUUGCUCCAGAGGGAAAUGACAUCGCAUAUUCCUUCCCACCUGAAGAGAAGAGUCACAAACCCUCCCUUUUCACCAGAAUGUAUAGAGCCAUCACUAGAAGCUUCUCCAACCCAAGAUAAUUUUCCUCAUUAAAUGAGAUUGCAUUCAUUUGUUGUCAUAUGUUGACUGUUUUGCGAGCACAGACUGUAAUAUGUUCUGCGAUUCAUCCACAUGCAUUGAGGAGUAUACCACCUCAGUCACAGGCUACAUCAAUAAGUGGAUCGACAACGUCGUGCCCACAGUGACCGUAUGUACAUAUCCCCGACAGAAGCCAUGGAUUACAGGCAUCAUCCACACCGCGCUAAAGGCUAGAGCUGCUUCUUUCAAGGAGCGGGACACUAAUCCAGACACUUAUAUGAAAUCCU
Molecule: long non-coding RNA, 567 nt
Organism: Oncorhynchus masou masou (cherry salmon)
Lineage: Eukaryota; Metazoa; Chordata; Actinopteri; Salmoniformes; Salmonidae
Exons: 3
Source: RefSeq, a predicted model, not a curated record